GAUCCGCCACAAAUACAGAGAAUCCACUGUUCAUACGGACAGAGUGUCCCCUGUAUUUGCACGGUGUCGCACAAGUACAAGAAGUAACCCAGGUACAACCACAACCAAAUGAAUAUAGAAACGACUAUGCAAUUAUUCAUUCACCAUUCACAUCACAGUUAUACAUUCAAAAUUUAAACAUAAAUCCACAGAAAAUUCUUUUGAAAACUGUUUCCUACACGGAAACCUUUAUUUUUUAAAAACGCCACCACGAG
This 254-nucleotide long non-coding RNA is filed under the name Ananas comosus (pineapple). RNAcentral describes it as "long non-coding RNA (ACOM_LNC040699)". Lineage: Eukaryota; Viridiplantae; Streptophyta; Magnoliopsida; Poales; Bromeliaceae. The record is from RNAcentral.